CUUAUACUCCCUCCGUCCGAAAAUACGUGUCGAAUGAAUAGAUAUAUCUAGACAUAUUUAAGUUCUAGAUACAUCCAUUUUUAACCAUUUCUUCGACGAGUAUUUCCGGACGGAGGGAGUACGUC
This is a non-coding RNA of Triticum aestivum (bread wheat), 125 nucleotides long. Lineage: Eukaryota; Viridiplantae; Streptophyta; Magnoliopsida; Poales; Poaceae. The record is from Rfam.